CGAUGGUUGUCGUCAGCUCGUGUCGUGAGGAUGUUCGGGUUAAGUCCCGCAACGAGCGCAACCCCUAUUGUUAGUUGCCAUCAUUCAGUUGGGCACUCUAGCGAGACUGCCGGUAAUAAACCGGAGGAAGGUGGGGAUGACGUCAAAUCAUCAUGCCCCUUAUGACCUGGGCUACACACGUGCUACAAUGGUUGGUACAACGAGUUGCGAGUCGGUGACGGCGAGCUAAUCUCUUAAAGCCAAUCUCAGUUCGGAUUGUAGGCUGCAACUCGCCUACAUGAAGUCGGAAUCGCUAGUAAUCGCGGAUCAGCACGCCGCGGUGAAUACGUUCCCGGGCCUU
This 340-nucleotide ribosomal RNA is filed under the name uncultured Streptococcus sp. RNAcentral's name for it is "bacterial SSU rRNA". It matches the Rfam family "Bacterial small subunit ribosomal RNA", at positions 1042 to 1382 of the family's 1533-position model. The record is from RNAcentral. Lineage: Bacteria; Bacillati; Bacillota; Bacilli; Lactobacillales; Streptococcaceae.